GAUGAAGAACGUAGCGAACUGCGAUACUUGGUGUGAAUUGCAGAAUUCAGUGAAUCAUCGAAUCUUUGAACGCACAUUGCGCCCCUUGGUAUUCCAUGGGGCAUGCCUGUUCGAGCGUCAUUUGUACCCUCAAGCUUUGCUUGGUGUUGGGUGUUUGUCCCGCGUUGCGCGUGGACUCGCCUUAAAGCGAUUGGCAGCCGGCAUAUUGGCCUUGGAGCGCAGCACAUUUUGCGCUUCUAGUCAUGAAUGUUGGCGUCCAUUAAGCCUAUACAUUUGCUCUUGACCUCGGAUCAGGUAGGGAUACCCGCUGAACUUAAGCAUAUCAAUAAGCGGAGGA
Molecule: unclassified non-coding RNA, 337 nt
Filed under: soil metagenome
Description: partial contains 5.8S ribosomal RNA, internal transcribed spacer 2, and large subunit ribosomal RNA
Rfam family: 5.8S ribosomal RNA (bases 1-120)
Source: RNAcentral